UACGUAGGGCGCGAGCGUUGUCCGGAAUUAUUGGGCGUAAAGAGCUCGUAGGCGGCCUGUCGCGUCCGCUGUGAAAUCCCGGGGCUUAACCCCGGGCCUGCAGUGGAUACGGGCAGACUGGAGGUAUGCAGGGGAGAACGGAAUUCCUGGUGUAGCGGUGAAAUGCGCAGAUAUCAGGAGGAACACCGGUGGCGAAGGCGGUUCUCUGGGCAUGUCCUGACGCUGAGGAGCGAAAGUGUGGGGAGCGAACAGG
This 253-nucleotide ribosomal RNA is filed under the name uncultured bacterium. RNAcentral's name for it is "partial 16S ribosomal RNA". It matches the Rfam family "Bacterial small subunit ribosomal RNA", at positions 524 to 776 of the family's 1533-position model. The record is from RNAcentral.